UGCGUAGGGUGCAGGCGUAAAUCGGAAUUACUGGGCGUAAAGCGUGCGCAGGCGGUUAUGUAAGACAGGUGUGAAAUCCCAGGGCUUAACCUUGGAACUGCAUUUGUGACUGCAUAGCUAGAGUACGGUAGAGGGGGAUGGAAUUCCGCGUGUAGCAGUGAAAUGCGUAGAUAUGCGGAGGAACACCGAUGGCGAAGGCAAUCCCCUGGACCUGUACUGACGCUCAUGCACGAAAGCGUGGGGAGCAAACAGG
This 253-nucleotide ribosomal RNA is filed under the name uncultured bacterium. Its description in RNAcentral is "partial 16S ribosomal RNA". It matches the Rfam family "Bacterial small subunit ribosomal RNA", at positions 524 to 776 of the family's 1533-position model. The record is from RNAcentral.